Molecule: ribosomal RNA, 206 nt
Filed under: uncultured bacterium
Lineage: Bacteria
Description: partial 16S ribosomal RNA
Rfam family: Bacterial small subunit ribosomal RNA
Source: RNAcentral
GGACUGCAGGCUGAAACUCGCCUGCACGAAGUUGGAAUUGCUAGUAAUCGCGGAUCAGCAUGCCGCGGUGAAUACGUUCCCGGGUCUUGUACACACCGCCCGUCACACCAUGGGAGCUGGUAACACCCGAAGUCAGUAGUCUAACCGCAAGGAGGACGCUGCCGAAGGUGGGAUUAGCGACUGGGGUGAAGUCGUAACAAGGUAUC